Molecule: long non-coding RNA, 250 nt
Filed under: Rattus norvegicus (Norway rat)
Lineage: Eukaryota; Metazoa; Chordata; Mammalia; Rodentia; Muridae
Description: long non-coding RNA NONRATT022984
Source: RNAcentral
UCUGUAAAGAAGUGGACAGUCCUUCAGGAGCAUGAGUGCCAGAGAUGGAAGGCUACUAUGGAAACAGUGCAACAGAAUCUCCACUAAGUACAUGAAGGUGGAAGGGCCAAUGUGGAGUCAGUAGCAUCCCCUCUAACACAACUGUGGGCCAGGACGUUCAACAUGAGAGGACAUCCAACUCAGGUGACCGCUGAAUUCCCUGACAAAAUGUUUAUAAAAACGUUGGAACAAUAAACCUCUUGUGGAUUGC